GACGAACGCUGGCGGCGUGCUUAACACAUGCAAGUCGAACGGAAAGGCCCUGCUUUUGUGGGGUGCUCGAGUGGCGAACGGGUGAGUAACACGUGAGUAACCUGCCCUUGACUUUGGGAUAACUUCAGGAAACUGGGGCUAAUACCGGAUAGGAGCUCCUGCUGCAUGGUGGGGGUUGGAAAGUUUCGGCGGUUGGGGAUGGACUCGCGGCUUAUCAGCUUGUUGGUGGGGUAGUGGCUUACCAAGGCUUUGACGGGUAGCCGGCCUGGGAGGGUGACCGGCCACAUUGGGCCGGAGAUACGGCCCAGACUCCUACGGGAGGCAGCAGUGGGGAAUAUUGCACAAUGGGCGGAAGCCUGAUGCAGCAACGCCGCGUGCGGGAUGACGGCCUUCGGGUUGUAAACCGCUUUCGCCUGUGACGAAGCGUGAGUGACGGUAAUGGGUAAAGAAGCACCGGCUAACUACGUG
RNAcentral lists this ribosomal RNA (468 nucleotides) under uncultured bacterium. Its description in RNAcentral is "partial 16S ribosomal RNA". It matches the Rfam family "Bacterial small subunit ribosomal RNA", at positions 28 to 507 of the family's 1533-position model. The record is from RNAcentral.